AGUGAACGCUGGCGGUAGGCCUAACACAUGCAAGUCGAACGGCAGCACAGUAAGAGCUUGCUCUUACGGGUGGCGAGUGGCGGACGGGUGAGGAAUACAUCGGAAUCUACUUUUUCGUGGGGGAUAACGUAGGGAAACUUACGCUAAUACCGCAUACGACCUACGGGUGAAAGCAGGGGAUCUUCGGACCUUGCGCGAUUGAAUGAGCCGAUGUCGGAUUAGCUAGUUGGCGGGGUAAAGGCCCACCAAGGCGACGAUCCGUAGCUGGUCUGAGAGGAUGAUCAGCCACACUGGAACUGAGACACGGUCCAGACUCCUACGGGAGGCAGCAGUGGGGAAUAUUAGACAAUGGGCGCAAGCCUGAUCCAGCCAUACCGCGUGGGUGAAGAAGGCCUUCGGGUUGUAAAGCCCUUUUGUGGGGAAAGAAAAGCAGCAGGUUAAUACCCCGCUGUUCUGACGGUACCCAAAGAAUAAGCACCGGCUAACUUCGUG
This 492-nucleotide ribosomal RNA is filed under the name uncultured bacterium. RNAcentral describes it as "partial 16S ribosomal RNA". It matches the Rfam family "Bacterial small subunit ribosomal RNA", at positions 29 to 507 of the family's 1533-position model. The record is from RNAcentral.